This 253-nucleotide ribosomal RNA is filed under the name uncultured bacterium. RNAcentral describes it as "partial 16S ribosomal RNA". It matches the Rfam family "Bacterial small subunit ribosomal RNA", at positions 524 to 776 of the family's 1533-position model. The record is from RNAcentral.
UACGGAGGGUGCAAGCGUUAUCCGGAUUUACUGGGUUUAAAGGGUGCGUAGGUGGGCUAGUAAGUCAGUGUUGAAAUCUCCGGGCUUAACCCGGAAACUGCCAUUGAUACUAUUAGUCUUGAAUACCAUGGAGGUGAGCGGAAUAUGUCAUGUAGCGGUGAAAUGCUUAGAUAUGACAUAGAACACCAAUUGCGAAGGCAGCUCGCUACGCGGUUAUUGACACUGAGGCACGAAAGCGUGGGGAUCAAACAGG